Molecule: non-coding RNA, 31 nt
Filed under: Mus musculus (house mouse)
Lineage: Eukaryota; Metazoa; Chordata; Mammalia; Rodentia; Muridae
Source: RNAcentral
UGGAUUUAUUUACAGUUUGGACAAAAUGGGA